UACAGAGGUCUCAAGCAUUGUUCGGAUUCAUUGGGCGUAAAGGGUGCGUAGGCGGCGCGGUAAGUCGGGUGUGAAAUCUCGGGGCUUAACUCCGAAACUGCAUUCGAUACUGCCGUGCUUGAGGACUGGAGAGGAGACUGGAAUUUACGGUGUAGCGGUGAAAUGCGUAGAUAUCGUAAGGAAGACCAGUGGCGAAGGCGGGUCUCUGGACAGUUCCUGACGCUGAGGCACGAAGGCCAGGGGAGCAAACGGG
RNAcentral lists this ribosomal RNA (253 nucleotides) under uncultured bacterium. RNAcentral describes it as "partial 16S ribosomal RNA". It matches the Rfam family "Bacterial small subunit ribosomal RNA", at positions 524 to 776 of the family's 1533-position model. The record is from RNAcentral.